Molecule: ribosomal RNA, 443 nt
Filed under: uncultured bacterium
Lineage: Bacteria
Description: partial 16S ribosomal RNA
Rfam family: Bacterial small subunit ribosomal RNA
Source: RNAcentral
CCUACGGGAGACAGCAGUGGGGAAUAUUGGGCAAUGGGCGCAAGCCUGACCCAGCAACGCCGCGUGAAGGAAGAAGGCCCUCGGGUUGUAAACUUCUUUUAUCAAGGACGAAACAAAUGACGGUACUUGAUGAAUAAGCCACGGCUAACUACGUGCCAGCCGCCGCGGUAAUACGUAGGUGGCAAGCGUUAUCCGGAUUUACUGGGUGUAAAGGGCGAGUAGGCGGGAUUGCAAGUCAGAUGUGAAAACUAUGGGCUCAACCGAUAGAGUGCAUUUGAAACUGCAGUUCUUGAGUGAUGGAGAGGCAGGCGGAAUUCCCGGUGUAGCGGUGGAAUGCGUAGAUAUCGGGAGGAACACCAGUGGCGAAGGCGGCCUGCUGGACAUUAACUGACGCUGAGGCGCGAAAGCGUGGGGAGCAAACAGGAUUAGAUACCCGUGUAGUC